GAUGAACGCUGGCGGCGUGCCUAAUACAUGCAAGUCGAGCGAACGGACGAGAAGCUUGCUUUUCUGGUGUUAGCGGCGGACGGGUGAGUAACACGUGGAUAACCUACCUAUAAGACUGGGAUAACUUCGGGAAACCGGAGCUAAUACCGGAUAAUAUUUUGAACCGCAUGGUUCAAAAGUGAAAGACGGUCUUGCUGUCACUUAUAGAUGGAUCCGCGCUGCAUUAGCUAGUUGGUAAGGUAACGGCUUACCAAGGCAACGAUGCAUAGCCGACCUGAGAGGGUGAUCGGCCACACUGGAACUGAGACACGGUCCAGACUCCUACGGGAGGCAGCAGUAGGGAAUCUUCCGCAAUGGGCGAAAGCCUGACGGAGCAACGCCGCGUGAGUGAUGAAGGUCUUCGGAUCGUAAAACUCUGUUAUUAGGGAAGAACAUAUGUGUAAGUAACUGUGCACAUCUUGAAGGUACCUAAUCAGAAAGCCACGGCUAACUACGUG
RNAcentral lists this ribosomal RNA (497 nucleotides) under uncultured bacterium. Its description in RNAcentral is "partial 16S ribosomal RNA". It matches the Rfam family "Bacterial small subunit ribosomal RNA", at positions 28 to 507 of the family's 1533-position model. The record is from RNAcentral.